GAGUUUGAUCUUGGCUCAGAACGAACGCUGGCGGCAGGCUUAACACAUGCAAGUCGAACGGGCAUAGCAAUAUGUCAGUGGCAGACGGGUGAGUAACGCGUGGGAACGUACCCUUUACUACGGAAUAACGCAUGGAAACGUGUGCUAAUACCGUAUGUGCCCUUCGGGGGAAAGAUUUAUCGGUAAAGGAUCGGCCCGCGUUGGAUUAGCUAGUUGGUGGGGUAAAGGCCUACCAAGGCGACGAUCCAUAGCUGGUCUGAGAGGAUGAUCAGCCACAUUGGGACUGAGACACGGCCCAAACUCCUACGGGAGGCAGCAGUGGGGAAUAUUGGACAAUGGGCGCAAGCCUGAUCCAGCCAUGCCGCGUGAGUGAUGAAGGCCCUAGGGUUGUAAAGCUCUUUCACCGGUGAAGAUAAUGACGGUAACCGGAGAAGAAGCCCCGGCUAACUUCGUGCCAGCCGCCGCAGUAAG
Molecule: ribosomal RNA, 471 nt
Filed under: uncultured beta proteobacterium
Lineage: Bacteria; Pseudomonadati; Pseudomonadota; Betaproteobacteria
Description: bacterial SSU rRNA
Rfam family: Bacterial small subunit ribosomal RNA
Source: RNAcentral